RNAcentral lists this long non-coding RNA (203 nucleotides) under Lathyrus oleraceus (garden pea). Its description in RNAcentral is "Pisum sativum (pea) long non-coding RNA (PSAT_LNC039837)". The record is from RNAcentral. Lineage: Eukaryota; Viridiplantae; Streptophyta; Magnoliopsida; Fabales; Fabaceae.
AGAUUGGAGUUGAAGAUUAUAUCCGGGAUGAGGUCCUCAGGAUUGUCUUCUGAUCAUGUGUCACCUUAGACUUUGGCGAGGCCAACAGAAGUCGUUAUGGGUUUCUUCGGAGGAAGAAAUGCACAUGUUACCUUCCUUUCGUGAAGGUGUACCCUCUGAUAUGUCGCCAUCAGAGUGGUGUUUUGGUGUUAUUUCCGGCGUUG